Callithrix jacchus (white-tufted-ear marmoset) is the source of this 2159-nucleotide non-coding RNA. NCBI's taxonomy places the organism in Eukaryota, Metazoa, Chordata, Mammalia, Primates, Cebidae. The record is from RefSeq and is a predicted model, not a curated record.
GCCGUAGGUCGCAGGUCGUCACCGCGUGGGAAGGGCGGUGCGGAACUCGGCGCCCUUGGUGACUCCCGUUGCGAGAAUUAGCGAGAGGUUCCCGCUCUUCCCUCCCUAGGCUUCAGUGCACCCUCGUUUCACAGUGUAACUUGACAAGAGUAGAAAAAUGUAGGGGCCAAGAAGAAAAGCUUCCCCUUUCAGCCUCUGAAGGUUUGCUGAAAAUGAGCGGAAAAAUGCAGAUCAACAGGAGAAAAGGCAUGUGUUUAUUUUAACACGCAUACCGUGGGGAAUUGUAGAAGAGUGAUGACCUCAUCACCCAACAAGGUCCAGAUGCCUCUAUAUCCUCUCUUCAUAGCGAAGGGGGAGGGGGUGUGUGGGAGUAAAUGGCAAAAGUUCCUCUGAGCUCUGGGGGAGGUGCUGGGAAGGUGAGGGAUGGAACCUCACCUUCCACAAAGAUUGUCAGACCUGUCCUCAAGAGAAUAGAUGAAAAGUCGGUGUAGUGACAACUCUGUCUCUUCUCUUCUUUCCUGGUCAUUUGAUGAGAUUCCUAAAAUUGGGGGUCUUAUGACAAUUGCCUGUUUUUCCUUUUUUUUUUUUUGGAAAGAAGCUUUGUUAGACAAGAAAAUUCCAGAGAGUCCCUCCAGGUGCUUCUAGAAAGAGGAUCAGAGAAACAAAGGGUGGGGAAGGUCAGAAAGAGAACUUGGGUCUAAGGUUUAUUUCUAAGGCCUUUUGAUUUGCAAAGUACUCAGCAUGCCAAAGCACUAUAUUUUGGGGAAUCAUUUUCUGCACCCCAACAAAACCUUGAUAUGCAAUUUUUCAGUGUAAUCGCAAGAUACCCUUGGUUAUAGCUAUCUGAUAUUUAAUCAUUAACUGAUAAUGAUUUAAUUGCUGCUCUGUAGAUUCAUAACAAGCAGAGUAUUUGAAGCUAUUUGAAACUAUUUCGACUGCAUUUGAAGGAGUUUAUUUUCUGGACACCUGAUGAACUCAAAUUUUUUUGCAAAUUCUUAGCAUUAACUUUCUGGAUACAAUGCAGGGGGCUGCGAGGGCAGAUUGUCUGCUAGAUGUUUUGCAACAGAAGUUUUCUUAGAGUUUUUGUGAGUUUUCCUCUGAAGCUGAUAAAUGCCCUAAAUGAGUUGUAGGAACAGUUUCAAAGUCACUAACGUCUGCUCUUCAGGCAUGUCGUGGCUGGAGCCCAGGCAGUUAUUCAUGUUGCAUGUGCAUCUUAAACUAAGGGUGAGAAGGAAGGAAAUUUCAAAUGAACCUUCCAAUUAAUCUGAUAGGGACUGCUUGUGAGUUCCCCUCCACCUUUCCAGUUAAGGGCCUGACCUAUGCAGACCCUAAUGAGUCAUUUAGCUAUUAAAUAUUUAGAAGGAGGCUUCCAAUGGAGAGAACAAAAGGACAGCAUUGCUUAGUGCAAAAGCAUCAAGUGUCAAAGCCACUGACUGGACAUUUCUCUAACAUUUGUCUUCCCCCGGGCGCUGAAGAGAGAGAUGUUUUACUUUCUCAGUGGAAUGCAGUCACAAGGCACCCAGUAAUAGAAUCCAUUGCUUGUGAACAUUGGGCAGGUUGGUAACUACUGGAUGAACCAUGGGUGUCAUCCACAUAAGGCAUUUUUUUACAUAUUUAUUUACAUGUUUUUUUCUCUAUAAGAAGUGGAGCCAGAAUCCACAGAUGCCAUUAUCCAUCUGCAGCCUUCAUUUACUACCCAGAAGGCAAGAAUAUUGCAUUUUAGAAGUGUCCAGACUUUUGUUCUUUCUUAUCACAAGACUUGGGAAGCUCCGACCGUUCAUGUUUACCCUGAGUGAAAGUCCCAGUCAGAGCCUUGCUUCCUGGAGGGCUUUGAGAUUCUGGUACAAAAGGCAUUUUAUAAGCACAAAGUGGAAAAGCAUCAUUCAUAUUCAUUUGCUGCUGUGGCAUUUCUCCCUGGAAUCUUCCUCUUGUCUGUCAAUGUUGGACCAAAGGACUGGCCUCAUCUACAUUACAAAUAUUCUUUUAAUGGUCUGGAGGUAGGAAAGGGACACGCAGCAGAAGAGUGAGAAGGGAAACUCAAGCUCUCUUGUUGGAGAGUCUCAGGCUUCUUUAUCCAUAAAACUGGUUGGACAUAAUUGGUGUGGGUUUAUGAUUUGUUCUGGAAAAACCUGAGUAUGAAAUCAAUACAGUGUUUUGUG